Molecule: unclassified non-coding RNA, 1301 nt
Filed under: Drosophila pseudoobscura pseudoobscura
Lineage: Eukaryota; Metazoa; Arthropoda; Insecta; Diptera; Drosophilidae
Description: GA20104
Source: RNAcentral
CCCACACACACUUAGCCAUGCCACAAACCAAAUCUCCAACAGCGCAUCGCCUACCUCUACAGCUGUCGCUGCUGCUGUUAAUCGUCAGCGGUGCUGCUGGCGUCUCCGUUGCGUCCUCGGCCAAUCUGCAGCCCUCGCCACGCUUUUUCUAUGCUGCGACGGCGGCGGCCACCCCACCAUCAGAUGCCGCCUCACAGACAAAGGUGCGUCUGCUGCGGCAGACAAACGGCGCAGCAGUACCCGAAGAUGAGGGAAGCUGUUGCCAGGGGGCAGCCGCCGAUGCUGGAACACCUGUAACGUUGCCAUUGGAACUUGCAACGGACUUGAGCAAUAUCACCGCCGACUACGAUGUCUCUGGCGAAAUGUCCUCCAAGGAAAACUUCAAACGCAGCGUCACCAGAUCUGCCAUACGGAAUGCCCAGCCUGCGAUCUGCUCGCCUCAGCCGACCAUUGUGGAGCUGAAACCGCCCAGCGAUGAGGCGGGGAACUUCAAUGUCUACUAUACGCCUGCAUGCACGCGCAUUAAUCGCUGCAAUGGCUGCUGCGGCUCCACAUUGAUCUCCUGCCAGCCCACGCAGACGGAGAAGGUUCAGAUGCGUGUGCGGAAAUUCGAACGUGGCGGCACAUCCAAGCGCAGCUCGGAAAUCAUUGUGGUGGAACAGCAUUUGGCGUGCCGCUGCGACUGCCGCAUCAAGGCCGAGGACUGCAAUGCGUAUCAGCUGUACAGGAGAGAAUUGUGCCGCUGCGAGUGCCAGAACACGGACGCCAGGGACAAGUGCUUGGAGCAGGCCGACAGCAAGUAUUGGGACGAUGCAAAUUGCACCUGUGCCUGCCGCUACAAUCAGAGCUGCACCACCGGCACCGUUUUCGAUGAGACGCAAUGCAAAUGCACCGAUAUCAAAAAUGUCGAGUAUUAUUCGUAAUUCGUUAACAAACACACACACAAACACACUGUUCCACUGUUCCAUUUUGUUGCCGAGAAAUUUGUUAAACAUAUUUGAAGAAUUUCAUAACCAUUUAAAAGAAAGAAAGAGAGAGAGAGAAAACUUAUCUUUGUGAUACUUUCCUGCAAAACGUAACUAAAAUUAGAAGCCAUUGGUUUAAGGCAAUUUAUUGUAAAAUGUAACUUAUAGUAGAGCUGUGUUGAGGCAAGAGAGAGAGAGAAAGAGGGAGAGGAGUGUGAUCCCCAGAAGGUUUCGUUGCAUUGUCCAUCGGCCCCCAUUGAUGUGGUGGAUCGCAAGCGUUUCAUUGUCCAGGCAGUGGAGGUAGAGCCCGACAACACCACUCUCUAUCAUGUGUAA